GUUUCCAUUAUAGAGUUCUUCAACAGAAGACUCUGACCUUAAUCUACCGAGAACUGGCCAGAUUCACCUUGAUGGAGGACCUCAGCGCACCUCACCGGACGACGACCCUCGUAAUCUGUGCUUGGGCUGGAUGGGAAGAUGUGGAGAUUACAAAAAUAAAGUAGUAACCGCGAAACAUAUAAUUAAACUAAUUCAAGAAACUGAGUUUAUCAUAAAACAUUAUCUAGAUCAAUAUUAUUAUGACUUUUUUUAUAAGGUUUUAAAUAACCUUAAGAUUGAUUUGAGACUUGAUCAAUCAAAUCAGUUUGCUUUUAUAAUUUUUAUUAAAAAGGACGGCAAAUUGGAUAGCGAAUAUCCAAAAGUGUAUUAUCCAGACAUUAAAACUAAAAGACAUAGUGAAGAUGAUAUAUUUGCUCUACUAAAAGACAUUCUUGAUAAAAAUGAUUGUCUGUAUAAGGAGGCACUGAUAUUUUCUUUGAAUAGUCCCUGUUUAGCAAGGCCCACAUCUACAUCUUGCUCGCAUCAAGCUAUUGAUAUUGUCACAAAAUUAUAUGAAAAGCAUGGAAUGAAAAUGAUUAUUGGCUUUUAUAAACCCUGGGGCAUUAAUGGCUCAUAUGAGAAUAGUUUACCCGAUAAGCCUCUUAAAGAUUGCACUUACACUUUUAAGUCCCAAACACUGGGAAGUAUUGAUAGAAUUAUCUCUAACAUGACAACCAAAAAAAAAAAAGAAAAGUGGAAAAAGUGGAAAAAGAAUUAUUAGAAACUAUUUACAAAAACAUUACUCCAAAUGUACAAAACAAAGAAUUUUCAAUGGAAAAAGAAAAUGAAAUACCAGAAUAUAAUCUUGAGAAAUAUUGGUUAAAAAUAAAAAAUCCCCCCCCAAAAGAAAAGCUUGAUCAAAUUGAAUCCGAUUUAUUUAAAAAUCCAACAUUAAAUAAAACAUUUGAUGAUUUCAAAAAUCAUGGUUUGGAAAUAUUUGACAAAGUUCUGAAAGAUAUACCUCAUCUUUUAAGUGGUAACGAUUCAAAUUUAUCUGAUUGUUUAAAUUAUGAUUUUUAUUUAUAUGAAGAAAUCUGGUCAUAUCUGCAGAAUAUUUUCUUUCCUUGGUGGGCUAAGAAAGUGGAAGAUGCAUCCAGCAGGUUUUUAAAUAAGGAAAUCAGUCACCUUCUACAAGAAGUUGCUGUUUAUUUUUUUCUUAGUGGCAUAAAAAAAAUUGAACAUUAUUUUGUUAUUGGUUAUGUCAAGUAAUCUAAUGUGAACAUUCAAA
Molecule: long non-coding RNA, 1267 nt
Organism: Carassius carassius (crucian carp)
Lineage: Eukaryota; Metazoa; Chordata; Actinopteri; Cypriniformes; Cyprinidae
Exons: 3
Source: RefSeq, a predicted model, not a curated record